Molecule: long non-coding RNA, 783 nt
Organism: Chelonia mydas (Green sea turtle)
Lineage: Eukaryota; Metazoa; Chordata; Testudines; Cheloniidae
Exons: 2
Source: RefSeq, a predicted model, not a curated record
UGCCCGGCGGGCUGAGGAGCGGCCCGGGGCCAGGACCCUGCCUCGCUGCCCUGCAGCGGGGCCUCCCCCGGCCCUAGGACUAGCAGCAGCAAGCGGUGUGGACAAGCCCAUAGCCUCUCUUCUACUGAGAGCUCUUUCGACUGACUGCUGCUGUUUGUGCCUUGAACAGCACCAACUAAACUGAUGCUGCUAAACGCAUAAUUUAAAACCAAUGAGAAGCUCAGAAGCUUUACAACAGGCCUUUAAAUGAAUUUGGGCUGAGUUGUGAGGCCCUGAUAAUGCAAACAUUUGUGCGUGUCCUCAACUUUACUACUGUGAAUAGUCUUAUUACUUUAAGGGACUACUAUUCAUGAUGGUAAAGUUAAACUAUGUGUGUGUGUGUGUGUGUUUACAGGAUCAGGGCCCAAGUUUGUAAAGAAACCCAAAAGCAAUGGCAUUUCACAUGGUUUCAGGUUCUGUUGUGUAUGUUUUAUUCAGCUCUAAGUUAAUAGGCUGUGCCUUGCAAUAUUUAUAAAUAAACAUCUAGCAUGUGCUGAAAUGAUUUCUCUCAUCUUUGCUUUUAUUUUUAACUCUAUCUGUACCUUCCACGUUUUUUCUCUGUGUAAUUUUAUUGCUAAUGUUAUCAUUUAAAAGCUAUCAUACUGUAUUUAUACAAAUAAUAUGCUAACACUGCAUGCUAAUAGUUUGUAUUUUUCAAAUACCCAGUGCAUAUGGAUUAACAAAGUUGUUUUAUAGAUAUUUUAUUGUUUUAAUAAACCUUUAAUAAAAUUUUAUUAUAAAGUU